GGUUCAGGAUGAACGCUAGCGACAGGCUAACACAUGCAAGUCGAGGGCGAGCACGGGAGUAGCAAUACAACUGGUGGCGACCGGCGCGACGGGUGAGUAACGCGUAUGCAACCUACCUAUCAGAGGGGAAGUAACCCGGCGAAAGUCGGACUAAUACCGCAUAAAACAGGGGCACCGCAUGGUGAUAUUUGUUAAAGAGAUUCGCUGAUAGAUGGGCAUGCGUUCCAUUAGGUAGUUGGUGAGGUAACGGCUCACCAAGCCGACGAUGGAUAGGGGAACUGAGAGGUUGGUCCCCCACACUGGUACUGAGACACGGACCAGACUCCUACGGGAGGCAGCAGUGAGGAAUAUUGGUCAAUGGGCGGGAGCCUGAACCAGCCAAGUCGCGUGAAAGGAAGAAGGAUCUAUGGUUCGUAAACUUCUUUUGCAGGGGAAUAAAGUGCAGGACGUGUCCUGUUUUGUAUGUACCCUGAGAAUAAGGAUCGGCUAACUCCGUGCCAGCCGCUGC
RNAcentral lists this ribosomal RNA (508 nucleotides) under uncultured bacterium. RNAcentral describes it as "bacterial SSU rRNA". It matches the Rfam family "Bacterial small subunit ribosomal RNA", at positions 21 to 518 of the family's 1533-position model. The record is from RNAcentral.